Molecule: unclassified non-coding RNA, 334 nt
Filed under: uncultured fungus
Lineage: Eukaryota; Fungi
Description: partial contains 5.8S ribosomal RNA and internal transcribed spacer 2
Rfam family: 5.8S ribosomal RNA (bases 1-133)
Source: RNAcentral
UGGUUCUGGCAUNGAUGAAGAACGCAGCGAAAUGCGAUAAGUAAUGUGAAUUGCAGAAUUCAGUGAAUCAUCGAAUCUUUGAACGCAUAUUGCGCCCGCUAGUAUUCUGGCGGGCAUGCCUGUUCGAGCAUCAUUUCAACCCUCAAGUCCCCUCGGGGUCUUGGUGUUGGGGAUCAGCCUGCCUCUAGGCGGCUGGCCCUGAAUUGCAGUGGCGGUCUUGCUGUCGUCUCCCUUGCGUAAUAACUUACCUCGUAUCGGAUCCGCCGCUUGGCCACGCCGUAAAACCCCCCCUCUUUUUUUGGUUGAUCUCGAAUCAGGUAGGAAUACCCGCUGA